Molecule: ribosomal RNA, 254 nt
Filed under: uncultured prokaryote
Description: partial 16S ribosomal RNA
Rfam family: Bacterial small subunit ribosomal RNA
Source: RNAcentral
UACGUAGGGGGCUAGCGUUGUCCGGAAUCAUUGGGCGUAAAGCGCGUGUAGGCGGCCCGGUAAGUCCGCUGUGAAAGUCGGGGGCUCAACCCUCGAAAGCCGGUGGAUACUGUCGGGCUCGAGUACGGAAGAGGCGAGUGGAAUUCCUGGUGUAGCGGUGAAAUGCGCAGAUAUCAGGAGGAACACCGAUUGCGAAGGCAGCUCGCUGGGACGUAACUGACGCUGAGACGCGAAAGCGUGGGGAGCAAACAGGA